CGGGGUGUAUGAAAUAUUUUAUAUCUUUAAUAAUUUUUUAGGGACGAAAUAUUUUAUAUCUUUAAUCAUUUUUUGGGGAGAGAGGAUUUAACUUGGUUUUACUUUAGCCGAAUGUCUUGGCCCAAAAAUAGCAAGCCUGGUCAAUUUCAAAGUUGGUUCUACCACCAGACCAGCCUUAACCCUUAAGUUUAAAGUCCAAUGAAUGUCCCAAUUUAAUAGACGCAGAUGUUUCACACGGUACGUACGUGUAUGAACAGAGUCUUUCCGGUUCCACCAUUAAUUUGAAUUACUCUCUCUCUCUCUCUCUCUUCCGUGUAGCUUCGAAAUCUUUGGUUUUACUGGAACCGUGAUUGAGUUUUGGAGUUGUCAGAUCUGUAGUAAUCCAAACAGAAUCAAAGCUGUAAUUAACAAAAGGAGGUUAGUCUUUUGAGGUUUUUCGAUUGAAAUUUUCAAUCCAUUUGUCUAAUAUAUAUUCAUAUUUGUAUAGAGAUUAUUGUGGGUAGUCUUGAUUUUGCUGACUGAUUUAUGGGUAACCAUUGAUUUUUCCGGUAAUUAAUAUGCAUUGAUUGAUUUUUGGUAAUCAGGUGAAAGAAGGAAGAAGAUGGGUCACCAUCAUCAUCACCAUCAUGAAAUGGAUAACAAUCCACUCGUGGCUUGUUGUUGCUGUCCCUGUUUAUUAGUCGCCUCUGUUUUGGGAGUGAUUGGGAGGUGCUUGUUCUACCCAAUUCUGCAGUGCUUUGGAUGGGAUGAGCACGGACAUCACCAUCAUCACCACCACAGGCAUUACGACUGAUACCCUGCUUAUUUAUAUUUUUCUGUACUUCAAUUGAAUUCGUGUGUAGAGCUUUGUUGCAAACUCAUUUUUCUCGUUUGAUUUGACUUUCUGUAAAAUUAGUUUCCUCUAAUAAGUUUAUUGGUUAUGGUGUUCACAUUAUAUUCUUCUUGGUUAUGAUUAUCUUUUAAGUUGGUGAAAUUAAUCGAGUCCAAUCACUACCGAGCCUAACUCCACGAUAUUUGUAGUAAAAACAACCUGAAAAAAAAUUGAAAGGAAGGGAAUUUCAGAACCACUUGAUAUGCAUCAAAAUGAAGAUUUAGUUUUUCUUCUCUGUUCUUUGAAAAUGCAAUAUUAAAGUAUGGUUUGACUUUAGGCAGCCUCUUAGUACGAGGAGUUGUAUGCAUUUUGCCAUUAUUAUAGGGUGUUUGUCUUUUUUUCUGCCUGCCAAAUAUAAUAACAGGUAGGUAGCAGAUGUUGUAUUUAUUUCCCUUGUAGUUGGAG
Molecule: long non-coding RNA, 1276 nt
Filed under: Panax ginseng (ginseng)
Lineage: Eukaryota; Viridiplantae; Streptophyta; Magnoliopsida; Apiales; Araliaceae
Description: long non-coding RNA (PGIN_LNC012955)
Source: RNAcentral